This 171-nucleotide ribosomal RNA is filed under the name Triticum aestivum (bread wheat). Its description in RNAcentral is "partial small subunit ribosomal RNA". Lineage: Eukaryota; Viridiplantae; Streptophyta; Magnoliopsida; Poales; Poaceae. The record is from RNAcentral.
AUGAACUUGGAAUUCUUCUACGACAAUGUGGGUAGCCGUGUCAAACCAGCUAGAGACCCUAACCGCAUUAGAGCUUUUCUUCAGACAUACAAGGAGAUUGAAAAUGCAAACACACACUUUCAACUUCAGGAGGAUCUAAUUGAGCACCAUUGGCAAAGGGCUGGACAGUGA